GUCUACUGCCAUGCCACCCUGAACAUGCCUGAUCUCGUCUGAUUUUGAAAGCUAAGCAGGGUCGGGCCUAGUUACUACUUGGAUGGGAGACCACCUAGGAAUACCAGGUGCUAUAGGCA
This 119-nucleotide ribosomal RNA is filed under the name Pteropus alecto (black flying fox). The record is from RNAcentral. Lineage: Eukaryota; Metazoa; Chordata; Mammalia; Chiroptera; Pteropodidae.